RNAcentral lists this signal recognition particle RNA (98 nucleotides) under Candidatus Dadabacteria bacterium. Its description in RNAcentral is "signal recognition particle sRNA small type". It matches the Rfam family "Bacterial small signal recognition particle RNA". From Rfam's summary of the family: The signal recognition particle (SRP) is a universally conserved ribonucleoprotein involved in the co-translational targeting of proteins to membranes. Archaeal SRP consists of a 7S RNA and homologues of the eukaryotic SRP19 and SRP54 proteins. In most bacteria, the SRP consists of a 4.5S RNA and the Ffh protein (a homologue of the eukaryotic SRP54 protein). RNAcentral also lists the same sequence under 1 other name. The record is from RNAcentral. Lineage: Bacteria; Pseudomonadati; Thermodesulfobacteriota; Candidatus Dadabacteria.
UAGUCAGGCCCGUACGGCAAGAGAUUGUGAAACCCGCCAGGCCUGGAAGGGAGCAACGGUAGCAAAUCCUCCUGAGCGUUGCGGAUACCUGGCUAACU